AGAGUUUGAUCAUGGCUCAGGACAAACGCUGGCGGCGUGCGUAACACAUGCAAGUCGAGCGGAGGGAGACUUCGGUGUCCCUCAGCGGCGGACGGGUGAGGAACACGUGAGUGACCGACCCUGGAGUGGGGGAUACCCGGCGGAAACGCGGGUUAAUCCCGCAUAGGUUCGUCUGUUCAAGCAGACGAGCAAAGCAGCAA
This 200-nucleotide ribosomal RNA is filed under the name uncultured bacterium. Its description in RNAcentral is "partial 16S ribosomal RNA". It matches the Rfam family "Bacterial small subunit ribosomal RNA", at positions 8 to 212 of the family's 1533-position model. The record is from RNAcentral.